AGCGGGAUGGAGCAGUUGGUAGCUCGCUUGGCUCAUAACCAAGAGGUCGCCGGUUCGAGUCCGGUUCUCCGCCA
This 74-nucleotide transfer RNA is filed under the name Bacteroides thetaiotaomicron. Its description in RNAcentral is "tRNA-Met". It matches the Rfam family "tRNA". From Rfam's summary of the family: Transfer RNA (tRNA) molecules are approximately 80 nucleotides in length. Lineage: Bacteria; Pseudomonadati; Bacteroidota; Bacteroidia; Bacteroidales; Bacteroidaceae. The record is from RNAcentral. RNAcentral also lists the same sequence under 4 other names.